AUGAGGAGCGGGGCGGCUGGGACAGGCCCAGGCCCUGCGGCGCUCCCCACUGCGCCUCCCGCCGCUGCCCCGCACGCUCCGCGGGGAGUGGCCCCGCUGCACGCGCGCUGCCUCCGCCUCCCGGCCCGGGGUGGGGUGGGGGGGUUCGCCCCGGAGCCACCGCUCCCGCCUCGGUUCCGUCCGCUUGACGUCGGCCCUGAAUCUGCGCGCUGGGCGGGCCUGGGAAGGGGCGCUCUGCAGCCUCCAGCCGAGCCCACGCCUGCCUCCCGAGUCUCGGGUGAAACAGCCCUCGGAGGGGCAGCCACACGCUAUUUUGUCAGAAAAAGAAUCCCCGCUUCCUGGACGGCCAGAUUUAUUACAGCAGUGGGCCUGACCCUGCUGGACCUCGGGGCCGGGGAGGGGCCGGGGGGGCCGGGGCGCUGGGGGAGCUGGGUGGGGGCUGACCCUGCUGGACCUCGGGAGCUGGGGGGGCGGGGCGCUGGGGAGCGGGCAGGGGCGCUGGGGGAGCCCGCGGGGCCUGGCCCUACUGGACCUCGGGAGCUCGGGGGGCCGGGGCGCUGGGGGAGCUCGGGGUGGGGGGCCGGGGCGCUGGAGGAGCCUGCAGGGCCUCCUCUCACAGCUGCCGACGGUAAAUACAGGUUGCGUUCCACUGAACGCUUGGCAGGGAGUAGAAGCUGGAGGGGUGUCCUGGAGCGCUCACAGGUCGGGGGGGACGCAGCUGCGGGGCCAGACACGCGAUCGCAGGGAACAGGCAGGGGAGCAGGUGCCCGACUGCGGGAGGGGCGGGGCUGCAGGAGAGGAGGGGCGGGGCUGCAGGAGGAGCAGAGCCGCUGGAGGGGAGGGGCCGGGCUGCCGGGAGGGGAAGGGCGGGGCUGCAGGAGGGGAGAGGCAGGGCUGCCGGGAGCGGAGGGGCGGGGCUGCAGGAGGGGAGGGGCGGGGUUGCCGGGAGGGGAGGGCCGGGGCUGCAGGAGGGGAGGGGCGGGGUUGCCGGGAGGGGAGGGGCGGGGCUGCAGGAGGGGAGGGGCCGGGCUGCCGGGAGGGGAGGGGCGGGGCUGCAGGAGGGGAGGGGCCGGGCUGCCGGGAGGGGAGGGGCGGGGCUGCAGGAGGAGCAGAGCAGCAGGAGGGGAGGGGCGGGGUUGCCGGGAGGGGAGGAGCCGGGCUGCGGGGAGGAGCCGGGCUGCGGGCGGGGCGGAGGAGGAAGCGGCGGUCUCAGAGCAGCGGCGGGCGAGGGCGGAGCUGGAGGGCCGGGGAGGCCAGAGGAGCCCUCCGGGGGCCUGCAGCGACAGCCGCGGGGUGGGGGGAGCCGCCCCGGGGCCCCUCCCGGCCCUGCGCUCUGACCCUGGCCUUGGCCCAUUCUGCCCUGCUCAGGUUAAGGCCCACGGAACCAGCUGGGUCCUACCGGGGCGCGGCCUGGCCUCUGGUGCCCUCCUGGGUGCCCCGCGGCUCCGGUCCCACCAGCCUUCCAGCGUGAAGCCAGGAGGGGGUGGCGGGUCGCCCCAGCCCCUCAGGCCUACCACGCCAGAGCCUCGGAGGCUCCCGCCCUGA
RNAcentral lists this long non-coding RNA (1545 nucleotides) under Canis lupus familiaris (dog). RNAcentral's name for it is "lncRNA (ENSCAFG00030010028.1)". Lineage: Eukaryota; Metazoa; Chordata; Mammalia; Carnivora; Canidae. The record is from RNAcentral.